UACGAAGGGUGCAAGCGUUGUUCGGAAUCAUUGGGCGUAAAGCGCGCGCAGGCGGAUUGAUAAGUCAGGUGUGAAAUCUCGGGGCUCAACCUCGAAACUGCGCCUGAAACUAUUAGUCUAGAAUGUCGGAGGGGGCAGGGGAAUUUCACGUGUAGGGGUAAAAUCCGUAGAGAUGUGAAGGAACACCGGAGGCGAAGGCGCCUGCCUGGACGACUAUUGACGCUGAGGCGCGAAAGCGUGGGGAGCAAACAGG
This 253-nucleotide ribosomal RNA is filed under the name uncultured bacterium. RNAcentral's name for it is "partial 16S ribosomal RNA". It matches the Rfam family "Bacterial small subunit ribosomal RNA", at positions 524 to 776 of the family's 1533-position model. The record is from RNAcentral.